RNAcentral lists this ribosomal RNA (330 nucleotides) under Triticum aestivum (bread wheat). RNAcentral describes it as "partial small subunit ribosomal RNA". Lineage: Eukaryota; Viridiplantae; Streptophyta; Magnoliopsida; Poales; Poaceae. The record is from RNAcentral.
AUGAUUGGAUAUGAUUGUAUUGAUCAUGGUCACCUUCUCAUCCUUCUUUUCUUGCUUUCUUCACCAGGGACAGGAGGUCAUAUUUUUUGUCUUAUUCAACAAAGCCAACGAGCUGAAUGUUUUUUUAUGCUCUUUGACCAUCGUCACCAUCCUUACAUUCCUGUCAUAGUUUCAAAAAAAAAAAUGAUCACCAUUUGUGAAAUAUCUUCAUCAAAUCUGCUGGCAUCUCUCCAAGAAGAGAAAGAUACAAAUAACCCUUUUGUUUUAUGUGAAGCAGAGCUGCACAACACUCAUCACAUUAGGAUAGUAAAAUCAUUCCAGUCUAUGUGA